RNAcentral lists this ribosomal RNA (464 nucleotides) under uncultured bacterium. Its description in RNAcentral is "bacterial SSU rRNA". It matches the Rfam family "Bacterial small subunit ribosomal RNA", at positions 339 to 794 of the family's 1533-position model. The record is from RNAcentral.
GUACGGGAGGCAGCAGUGGGGAAUUUUCCGCAAUGGGCGAAAGCCUGACGGAGUGACGCCGCGUGUGGGACGAAGGCCUUCGGGUCGUAAACCACUGUCAGUGGGAAAGAAGGGUGUCGGCGCGAUAACCGCUGGCGCCUGACGGUACCUGCAGAGGAAGCCCCGGCUAACUCUGUGCCAGCAGCCGCGGUAAGACAGAGGGGGCAAGCGUUGCUCGGAAUUACUGGGCGUAAAGGGCGCGUAGGCGGGAUGGCAAGUCGGUCGUGAAAUCCCUCGGCUCAACUGAGGAACGUCGAUCGAUACUGCUGUUCUUGAGGAUUGCAGAGGAGACUGGAAUUCCCGGUGUAGCGGUGAAAUGUGUAGAGAUCGGGAGGAACACCGGUGGCGAAGGCGGGUCUCUGGGCAAUUCCUGACGCUGAGGCGCGAAAGCGUGGGGAGCAAACGGGAUUAGAUACCCCGGUAGU